RNAcentral lists this unclassified non-coding RNA (127 nucleotides) under uncultured fungus. RNAcentral describes it as "sequence contains ITS1". The record is from RNAcentral. Lineage: Eukaryota; Fungi.
AAAGAAGAAUCGCAAGAUUCUAUUUUUUUAAAGUUUUACUACUACUUUUUGUAGGAGUAGAGCUUUUUCCACACUCUUUAAUAUUAAAAAUCGUCUUUUGACGAUAUCAAAUAAUUAAUAAUAAACA